GCGGGCGUGGUGGAACGGUAGACACAGGGAGUUUAAAAUUCUCGGCGCAAGCACUUGUCGGUUCGAUGCCGACCGCCCGCACCA
RNAcentral lists this transfer RNA (84 nucleotides) under Agrobacterium rubi. RNAcentral's name for it is "tRNA-Leu". It matches the Rfam family "tRNA". From Rfam's summary of the family: Transfer RNA (tRNA) molecules are approximately 80 nucleotides in length. Their secondary structure includes four short double-helical elements and three loops (D, anti-codon, and T loops). The record is from RNAcentral. Lineage: Bacteria; Pseudomonadati; Pseudomonadota; Alphaproteobacteria; Hyphomicrobiales; Rhizobiaceae.